Molecule: long non-coding RNA, 1299 nt
Filed under: Citrus x clementina
Lineage: Eukaryota; Viridiplantae; Streptophyta; Magnoliopsida; Sapindales; Rutaceae
Description: Citrus clementina (C. clementina) long non-coding RNA (CCLE_LNC003137)
Source: RNAcentral
UUGUGGGAUCUAGUAUUGUUAUAAACAGAGAAUAUAUUGAUGUUAAACCUUACUUUUAAAACUAAUGUCGAAUUCUUUAUCCAGUCAUUUAAGCUUUGGAGGGUUGAAUGGUUCCCACUAACAAGUAGCACUCAGCCUAAUAUUCCAAUUGAGAGUGAAGUGCAAGGCAAUUCAUGGAAAAGUGUCGAUUGAGACAUGUUGAUAAGAAGUCUGUGUGUUAAAUUAAAAAAAAAAAAUGAAUGUAGCAAAAUCCAUGACUAUAUCUACUCAAGAUUUCAGCCACAUAUUAAAGAAGAACAAUAUCUCAGGACCAGGACUUCUAAAUUUAACUAAUCGACAAACAUUCGUCUACUCUUUUAAAAAUUUACUGUCACCGACACCCAUAGAAGCUUUUACAAAACUAAUUUGAUUUGUAUACCAAUCAUGGGUCUUCACCUAACAGCAAAACAUGAUCUAAUUUGCAACAAAUGAACCGAGACCAUGGCAUUUCGAAAUUGAUUAAUUGAAUAUGAAACAGUUGCCACGGUAUCUUAUGUUGAUGACAGUCGGACUCAGAUACUUUGUUCAAUAAGAUGGUGAGCCGCCGGCCCAAAAGCUGUAGACUCAUAUUAAAGAAAAUAAAAUAACCCACCAUUAAUUCGCAAUAAACAAAUUGCCAUUGAACUUAGCCUAGGUUUGAACAAAAAAUGAUAAUUUAAUUCAAAUGUGCCACAGGCCACAGUAAGAAAUAGAUUAUAUAGAACACAUGUCAAGUGAAUUGAAUCCUCAAAAUCCUCGUAAUCUGUAGGGAUCAAAAGAGAAAAGAAGAAUGAUAGUAAAAGAUACAAAGGUACGACAAAAGUCAAAGAUUAGGGUCCCAUACGUCGAUUAAGUCAAUAUAAAAGUUUCAUCAUAACCUUCGAAGAUGUUAGUCGGAGUCUUAAAUAUGGUCGGCAGGCUAGUAUUAAUAUUACAUUACAUCUUAAGCUAAUUUAACAUCGUAUCCUCGAGUAUCUAGUUGUAGAUUCAUUAUUCGCUUUGUUAACUACUACCAAUAUGAACAUGUUAUCAUUUUCUAUUGUGUAUUUUUUUUUUUAUUAUUAAAAAGAAAAUAAGUGUGCACACAAGACAAGAGGGUGUGGUUGGUAAAUUCAAGCCUAGUUGCCAGGAUAAUUAGAUGAUGGAAAACUAAGCCGAAUCAAAUUGGUUUAGUCAACGUAAUUAAAAUUUUCUCUUGUUCAGAUUUGGUUUAAUUUAGUUUUGAGAGUUAAUCCCCCCCCCCCCCCUCCCCCCAAAAAAAAUAAAUAAAUAAUCGCGUAC